AUUGAACGCUGGCGGCAGGCCUAACACAUGCAAGUCGAGCGGAUGAAGGGAGCUUGCUCCUGGAUUCAGCGGCAGACGGGUGUGUAAUGCCUAGGAAUCUGCCUGGUAGUGGGGGAUAACGUCCGUAAACGGGCGCUAAUACCGCAUACGUCCUGAUGGAGAAAGUGGGGGAUCUUCGGACCUCACGCUAUCAUAUGAGCCUAGGUCGGAUUAGCUAGUUGGUGGGGUAAAGGCCUACCAAGGCGACGAUCCGUAACUGGUCUGAGAGGAUGAUCAGUCAAACUGGAACUGAGACACGGUCCAGACUACUACGGGAGGCAGCAGUGGGGAAUAUUGGACAAUGGGCGAAAGCAUGAUCCAGCAAUGCCGCGUGUGUGAAGAAGGUCUUCGGAUUGUAAAGCACUUUAAGUUGGGAGGAAGGGAAGUAAGUUAAUACCUUGCUGUUUUGACGUUACCAACAGAAUAAGCACCGGCUAACUUCGUG
RNAcentral lists this ribosomal RNA (484 nucleotides) under uncultured bacterium. Its description in RNAcentral is "partial 16S ribosomal RNA". It matches the Rfam family "Bacterial small subunit ribosomal RNA", at positions 30 to 507 of the family's 1533-position model. The record is from RNAcentral.